Molecule: ribosomal RNA, 477 nt
Filed under: uncultured bacterium
Lineage: Bacteria
Description: partial 16S ribosomal RNA
Rfam family: Bacterial small subunit ribosomal RNA
Source: RNAcentral
AUUGAACGCUGGCGGCAUGCCUUACACAUGCAAGUCGAACGGUAACAGGUUAAGCUGACGAGUGGCGAACGGGUGAGUAAUGUAUCGGAACGUGCCCAGUCGUGGGGGAUAACUGCUCGAAAGAGCAGCUAAUACCGCAUACGACCUGAGGGUGAAAGCGGGGGAUCGCAAGACCUCGCGCGAUUGGAGCGGCCGAUAUCAGAUUAGGUAGUUGGUGAGGUAAAGGCUCACCAAGCCGACGAUCUGUAGCUGGUCUGAGAGGGCGACCAGCCACACUGGGACUGAGACACGGCCCAGACUCCUACGGGAGGCAGCAGUGGGGAAUUUUGGACAAUGGGCGCAAGCCUGAUCCAGCCAUGCCGCGUGCGGGAAGAAGGCCUUCGGGUUGUAAACCGCUUUUGUCAGGGAAGAAAAGGUUCUGGCUAAUACCUGGGACUCAUGACGGUACCUGAAGAAUAAGCACCGGCUAACUACGUG